This 499-nucleotide long non-coding RNA is filed under the name Anas platyrhynchos platyrhynchos (common mallard). Its description in RNAcentral is "lncRNA (ENSAPLG00000031015.1)". Lineage: Eukaryota; Metazoa; Chordata; Aves; Anseriformes; Anatidae. The record is from RNAcentral.
CUCUGAGGGCACUAAUAGGCCUUAAUGGCCCCAAUCAGGCUCACCUGGCUCUACCCUGCAUCCUUUGCCCAUGGGCCCAGGAGCUGCAUUUUGGCCUCUGUUGUUGUGCUGGAAGUCAUUUAUUGCUUCUGGUCCAGGACACAGGGUGAUCGCCUGCAGCGAUGAGGAAGGAACCAACUACAAGCUGGGCUGCUGCCAAAGAUUCAAGAAGAUUCAAGAAUCCUUCAAAUUGUACCAGGAGGCACAGCAUGCCACAAGCUGGGGUUUUGGGUGGUUGUUGGUCACUGUGUUUUCUCAGACCCCGGUACCAGUGCACAGGAUUCUUUCUGUUCUCAUUUCAUUCGUUUAUAUACAUUUUACUCUAAGCCAGUAAUUGGAUAAGGACUUCAAACUUUUGUAGACAUUUGAUAUGAGUGUUGAAGGAAAUUUGGAAAUAUGUCAAAAAAGUGUCAUUCUUUAUAGCAUUCAGCACUUGUAAACUAUGUAAAAUAAAAAUAAU